RNAcentral lists this ribosomal RNA (849 nucleotides) under uncultured bacterium. RNAcentral describes it as "bacterial SSU rRNA". It matches the Rfam family "Bacterial small subunit ribosomal RNA", at positions 8 to 858 of the family's 1533-position model. The record is from RNAcentral.
AGAAGUUAAUCCUGGUUCAGAUGAACGCUAGCGGCAGCUUUACACAUGCAAGUCGAGGGGCAGCAUGCCCAGCAAUGGAUGAUGGCGACGGGCGGAAGGGUGCGUAACGCGUGAGCAACAUGCCCUAUACAGGGAGAUACACCAGGGAAACUUGGUCUAAUAUCCCAUAGCAUUCAUGNAAGGCAUCUUUAAUGAAUUAAAGCUUCGGUGGUAUAGGAUUGGCUCGCGUGACAUUAGCCAGAUGGUGAGGUAACGGCUCACCAUAGCAAUGAUGUCUAGGGGUUUUGAGAGGAAGGCCCCCCACACUGGGACUGAGACACGGCCCAGACUCCUACGGGAGGCAGCAGUGAGGAAUAUUGGACAAUGGAUGGAAAUCUGAUCCAGCCAUGCCGCGUGCAGGAAGACGGCCUUAUGGGUUGUAAACUGCUUUUAUACGGGAGCAAUAAGGGUUACGAGUAAUCCGAUGAGAGUACUGUAUGAAUAAGGAUCGGCUAACUCCGUGCCAGCAGCCGCGGUAAUACGGAGGAUCCGAGCGUUAUCCGGAAUUAUUGGGUUUAAAGGGUGCGUAGGCGGCCAUUUAAGUCAGCGGUGAAAUUUUGCAGCUUAACUGUAACAGUGCCGUUGAUACUGUUUGGCUAGGAUUUGGUUGUAGUGUGCGGAAUGUGUGGUGUAGCGGUGAAAUGCUUAGAUAUCACACAGAACACCGAUUGCGAAGGCAGCACACUAAGUCAUUAUUGACGCUGAGGCACGAAAGUGUGGGGAUCAAACAGGAUUAGAUACCCUGGUAGUCCACACUGUAAACGAUGAUAACUCGCUGUCGGCGAUACACAGUCGGGGCCAAGCGAAAGC